Molecule: ribosomal RNA, 398 nt
Filed under: Lomentospora prolificans
Lineage: Eukaryota; Fungi; Ascomycota; Sordariomycetes; Microascales; Microascaceae
Description: Scedosporium prolificans Eukaryotic small subunit ribosomal RNA
Rfam family: Eukaryotic small subunit ribosomal RNA
Source: Rfam by way of RNAcentral
CGCGGUAAUUCCAGCUCCAAUAGCGUAUAUUAAAGUUGUUGUGGUUAAAAAGCUCGUAGUUGAACCUUGGGCCUGGCUGGCCGGUCCCCCUCACCGGGUGCACUGAUCCAGCCGGGCCUUUCCCUCUGUGGAACCCCAUGGCCUUCACUGGCUGUGGCGGGGAAACAGGACUUUUACUUUAAAAAAAUUAGAGUGCUCCGGGCAGGCCUAUGCUCGAAUACAUUAGCAUGGAAUAAUAGAAUAGGACGUGUGGUUCUAUUUUGUUGGUUUCUAGGACCGCCGUAAUGAUUAAUAGGGACAGUCGGGGGCAUCAGUAUUCAAUUGUCAGAGGUGAAAUUCUUGGAUCUAUUGAAGACUAACUACUGCGAAAGCAUUUGCCAAGGAUGUUUUCAUUGAUA